UCCCUGGAAGACUAAUGGUUAGGUGCCGGCACUAUUACAGCCGUGGCCUGGGUUCGAUUCCUUGCCAGGGAA
This 72-nucleotide transfer RNA is filed under the name Pangasius djambal. RNAcentral's name for it is "tRNA-Asn". It matches the Rfam family "tRNA". Rfam says of the family: Transfer RNA (tRNA) molecules are approximately 80 nucleotides in length. Lineage: Eukaryota; Metazoa; Chordata; Actinopteri; Siluriformes; Pangasiidae. The record is from RNAcentral.